This 72-nucleotide transfer RNA is filed under the name Erinaceus europaeus (western European hedgehog). It matches the Rfam family "tRNA". From Rfam's summary of the family: Transfer RNA (tRNA) molecules are approximately 80 nucleotides in length. Lineage: Eukaryota; Metazoa; Chordata; Mammalia; Eulipotyphla; Erinaceidae. The record is from Rfam by way of RNAcentral.
AGGGUUGUAGCUUAGUGGUAGAGAGUAUGCUUUCCAUGUGUGAGGGACUGGGUUCAAUCCCUAGCAGCUCCU